AAUCUCCUUAGACUGCAUUUUCAUUGCUGCAUCUGAAGCUUGUGCCUUCAUCUUCAAGUCGCUCAACAUUUCCUCAUGUAAAACAACUUGUUGUCUUAGUUCUGCAUACUGCAUUCUUCAAAUUCUCAAUCUCCUUAGACUACAUUUUCAUUGCUACAUCUGAAGCUUGCGCCUUCAUCUUCAAGUCACUCAACAUUUGCUCAUAUUCAACUACUUGUUGUCUUAGUUCUGCAGCUUCUUGUAGCCCUCCCAAAGAAACUUCAGAUCUUGAGCUUGUAGCUGAGGUUGGCUGCACAGUCACAUAAUCAAGGAAGGUACUUGACUGCAGAUCAUCAGGACUAGAAUUUGGUACUACAACCCCAAGGAUUAUUUUCAAUAUUUCAGCCUACAAGUGAAAGGAGCAGAAGUCAAACUUCAAUCUUAAACAAAGCAACUGAAUAAAGUAAAGAAUAUAGGAGCAUGAUAAUCACUUGUUUAGUUAUAUACCAUGACAUAUGAUUGAAUUUCAGCAAUGCAGGAAUGUGAUACUAGGCCCUGCAUAAUAAGUAUUUGGUCUGUUGUCUUAGAUAUAAGGAACAUAAUAUACCAUGACCAUAGAAAUGUAGAUGCCAGCCUUGCAGAUAGAUCUAGAGUGGCCAAGGUAAGAGAAGGAUCUCAAAUCUAAGACAACACACCAAGAUAUUUACUUUUCUCUAAAGAAAUACUCCAGCAGCAUAGGACCGUGACCACAUCUAGUCAUCACUAGACUCCGCUCCAUACAUAAAUAAAGUUGAGCUGAGUGCUCUCCGGUGAAGCAGAUGUAGAUCUAGCAAAUUGGAGGGGACUAUAGAGAAAAUAAAUGAGAUUCUCACUCUUGGAGCUCGAAGUUGCAUUGGCGCAUGGUUCGUUGGGGCAGCCGGUGCUUGCGUGACAUCCUCACUCAAUUGCUCAAUUGCACAAGCAAGGGUGCAUCCGUUGCAAGGACACUGAGAUGUUCCUCCAAGAGUGCCGCCGACCGUGCCGCACCUUGAUGCCUGCCACCCAUGGAGCUUGCUGCCACCGCUGAGGUACCUUGCGGCCGCCGAGGUCAGUCGCCAUCGCAGAUCUAGUUGGACUUUAGAGCCAGCAGAGAGGAGAGUGCUAAUUUUGGAAAUACAAGGCGGGAGUUUGGAGGGGCACUAUGGUAGCCAUGUUUUUAUUAUUUGGGGGGAGGCAACGGUAUACAGAAUUUGAAGAUCCCGCUUUCAAGUUCCUGGGUGCGAAAUGAAAAUUUAGUAAGCUGCACUUGCUGCGGGGUAACUGACAAGAUUGUGCACUCUUAUCGGACCCAUUUGUUAGCGAAGCUAGGUGCGUUUCAUCUUGCAUACAACCUAGGUGGGAGAUGAAUAUCUGGAAGAGGCCCACGCUUCAGUGAACCUGGGUGCAUUUCUAGUCGCUGACCACAAAGGGGAACAACUACUUUCUCCAACUAUAAUGCCUACGCAUCUGUUUUUUUAACUCAUGUGGAUGUUAGGAUUUUCCUUUUUUUAUCCGGACCAAAGAGCACUCAUGUACUGACCGAAUAUUUCGCAUGCCUACCCGUGAAGGAAAUCCUGCAUAUUCCACCCUAUACUUGUGGCAGGAUUCCUGAUCAGUGUAGGUUUGCGUAUUCUGAGCAUCCCACGUAUUUUCAUGGCUACUGUACUCUCGUGAGGCGUGAGCUAGGAGAAGGUGCACUACGUUGUUGAUCGGUCAUGGUGCUUCAAUAAAUAGGCAUGCCCCCAAGGUCUUUGCUCAUCAGCUCUUCAUCUUACACGCAUUGUUUAGUGGUUGUGCUAGGCAACCUACUUGGUUCUGCGCCCUAUGAGAGGUGAGCUCAUAGCUUUCGCAUCUUAUUUAUAGGUUACCAUCAUUUCUUGUGGUCAUUGCCUAUUAUUUUUAGUUCUGUUGGUAAGUCUCUGUUGGAGGAUGACUGGUCAAGCGAAUGGAGCAGGCAACUUUGAUGUUGUGCCACCUCCGCAGCAGCCAAGCUUCGUUGAUCCAUAUGAUUUGUACGACAUGGAAGAAGCGGAUGAGGAUGAAACAGAGGAGUUGAAGAAAUUUGAGUUCGCUUGGCUGCCAAACCACAGUUACACUCAUAUGCUUCACAAUGGUCGCUUUGUGUGCCCUUACUACUUUCUUGCCCACUGGACGUGACGUAUUCAUGACAUCGUGCAGCAUGCUUCUAGCAUUGGUCGCUCGGGUCAUGUUACCUUGGACUCGAGGGCUAGGCAUCGUGCAUUGGAGGACUAUCUUCGGAGCGAACCUCGUUUUGUUGCUAUCCCUGGUAUGCUAGAAUAAUCUUAUGUCAUAUCCAUCUCCAUGACCGUGUCCAUUGCUCCUCGUUGCCAUGUCCGUGUCUGAUGCAUUGCAUCUACAUGUUGUGACACUUUCGUGUAACAGAGAUGACUUUAUUUGUAUCAUCUGGAUCAGUGUUUUUAGCCUGUCAGUGCCUAGUGACAAUGCACCAGUUUAGUAUUUAAAAUUGUAUGGUUCCGUUGUUGUGUGUGUGCGCGCCUAUGCCACUGUAUGAGUGUGGAUCUGUGGGGAUGUAUCAUGUAUGUAUACUUAAGAAUGCGAUCUAAUAAGAACGGUCAUGGUUUGUUGAUUACUAUUUCAGAAUAGAGGAACUUACGUUGUGUAUCUUCUUAUAUAAGCUGAUAGUCCUCUAUACUCUGCUCCCUAUUUAAGGCACAAAAGAAAUCCCCUGUUGUUUGCUGCCUCUGAUCUCUUCCCCGCAUCUUUCCAAUCUCCACCACCGCCCGACGAGCUGCUUGUCCUCAUGACCAAAUCCACCAGCAUGGCUCAAAGCCAGACAAGCUUCUCAGAGCGCCCCAACACACUCUUCACUAUGGGAAAAGAUCUCUUCCAGGAGUUCGGCACCCACGUCACCAUCGUCACAUUCUCUCCCCCACCGGUGAGCCCAAAUCCUACAGAGCACCCAACGCCGACUCCGUCCUCUGCACCUACCUUCCCGAGAUCCAUAGCUUGCCGUCUCCAGCUUGUUCUGAAAUGACAGGGAAGGCCACGGCCAGGGUUGAUGGAAUGAAGUGGGAGGCGGAGGAGACCACUUUCUUAGCUGAGGCGGAAAGGGCGUAUCAAGCUGCCGCAUGGUCGAAGAUCUUAGCGGCUCAGACGAGCGCCGGGAAACAGAACAAGUGAGAGGUAGAUGUGGAAGCUCUCGGGAUGGACGAGCUGCCGGUGUUCGUCAGGGCAUUGGAGGUUCUAACGACCGACGUCCAAUGCCAACUCAACACAAUGGAAUCAUCACAGAAGGAGAAGAUGCAACCUUAAUCAUUUUCUAUUAGUGCUCUCACUACAAGAUAAAUCAUGAAGAUGUUAUGUGAACUUUUAUGAUACCUUAAUCCUUUUGUAAUCCAUGCAAGAAAUAUUUGUAUGUUCUUCUUAUGCAUUAUAUAAGCAUCAAUCAGACAUAUGAUCCGUUCUCGGAAAAUUGAAUAGGACGUACUAACAUUUGCAAUCCUUUAUUGGGAAAAAAGAUUCUUGAUCUAAAUUUUGGUAAGCUGAGCAAGGAUUUCCUUGCUUUUGAGAGAUAGCCAAAUAGGAUCACAUUUUUUAUUAAUAAUCAUCCCAUAUUGAUUUUCAAUCUUUAAAAAAAUGGAUGCACCAUUCCAACUCCAUUCUCAUUAAAUGAAACAUAAAAUUCGAUCCAUCUUGGUUUCUAAAGGCCUAUGAGUAGGAGAACGACCCAUUGGGAAUUAAAUGAGGGAAUAGCAUAAAUUGGUUUUAAGUAACCAUACCUACACGAGAACAAAGGAAGAUCAGCUGCAUGGAUGUGGAGGAUGUGACAUUACACGGCACUGGAACGUGGACGGUUGCCACAUUAAUCGUCAGGUACAAAUUAGAAUUUGUUACAAUUUUUGGGAAAAAUAUGUAUAGACAUAUGAUCUGUUAGAGGAAAAGUGAAUAAUACGGACCAAAAUGUUUGAUGCUUUGUUGGAAAAAUGGUUUGAAUUUUGGCAAGGUGAGCAAGAAUUUCCUUGGUUUUGAGAGAGAGCCAAAUAUGAUUACAUUAUUUGUUAAUGUUUGUCUCAUAUUGAUUUUCAACCUUAAAAAAUCAAUGCAAUAUUCCAACUACAAUCACAUUAAUGAAACAUAAAAUUCAAUCCAUCUUGACCUCUCAAGCUAUGUGAGUAGGAGAACAACAUAGCAAACAUAAACAAUCUAAUUAAUCUCCCUAGGAAAAGCUUGGAACUCUUGGAAACAGCAAAAUGAAAUCAUGCAAUUUGAUUGGCAAAGUGACAAUACAUCAUCAACACAAUGAUCAGAAAUAGCGAUUCUACGUGAGGUACAUAUGUAUGAUUCAUUAUCGGAAAACUAAAUAGGAUGGACUAAACUUUUUAUCACAUAUUGGUUUUCAACCACUCAAAAAAUCGAUGAGGGAAGAUAGUCAUUAGUUUCUAAAUACACAAGACAAGAUAGCCGUUGUUGCUAGUGCACAGUACAAGAGAGUCCGUUCAUGAACAUUCAAUGGAAAACAUUGACUUUUUUGCCGCAAUGCGGUGUGGUGGUAUAAGAAUAAAAAAAUCACAUGAUAAGACAUGGCAUGGCAGGCUAUGACACAACAUCAUGACCAGAGAAAACCAAAGCACCAAGAAAGAUGAACAGAUUCUUGCCGAUGUCCCAUCAUAGAGCAAACAUAGCAGGAAAAUAGGGGAUCGAUCCUCGGACUAGAAAACAGGGAAUUUCCCUACUAGAUUCAUAGAGCAAGAAAUCAUGGGCGACGCCGGCCCGUAGAGCAGGAAUGGGUCCAGCAGGACCCCCUCGCUCACUGGGACAGUCAAUGCGGUGGACAUACUUAACAUUAGUGGCCGAGCGGCUAGCCACGGGACCCACACGUGUUCAUCCUGGCCUCUAGGGCACUCCACCCACUACACACCAGCUUCAGGUGGUGACGGCGUCUCGUGGGAGACGGGGGUCGCGGUAUUCUAGCAGCGGCAUCGGGGCUUCCCCCACCGCUCUCUGGCUAACCAGUGACAACCCCCGCAGGUGCUGUAGAGCGUGCGGGGCCCCAUCGGGCCAAUCCUCCACUGCGACACCUUCAUCGUGCCGCAGUCGCCACAUCUCCCCACCAUCAUGGUGGCCAGCAGGGACGGUGGGAGGGAGAGCGUCAAGGAUGACCAUUGUGUCGCUUCGGCUCAGACGCGAGGGACGCAAGGAACGGUGCCAUCCAUUGGGGGAGAUGUUGGCAGAGGCAAUGAACAGGCACCGGGAGGCGCGUGACAGCAAAGAAGGAAUAGUGAGGUUCAGAAGGUGAUUAAAUAAGGAGUUCCUCACCUUUCCUGGGAAGCUGCA
This 5313-nucleotide long non-coding RNA is filed under the name Setaria italica (foxtail millet). RNAcentral's name for it is "long non-coding RNA (SITA_LNC006792)". Lineage: Eukaryota; Viridiplantae; Streptophyta; Magnoliopsida; Poales; Poaceae. The record is from RNAcentral.